AGUGAACGUUGGCGGCGUGGAUUAGGCAUGCAAGUCGAGCGAGAACCGUAGCAAUACGGGGACAGCGGCGAAAGGGACAGUAAUGUGUAGGUACCUACCCCGAGGUCUGGGAUAGCUGCGGGAAACUGCAGGUAAUACCGGAUAAUGUCUUCGGACCAAAGGUGUGAUUCCACCUUGGGAGGGGCCUGCAUCCUAUUAGCUUGUUGGCGGGGUAACGGCCCACCAAGACGACGAUGGGUAGCGGGUGUGAGAGCACGACCCGCGUCAUUGGGACUGAGACACUGCCCAGACACCUACGGGUGGCUGCAGUCGAGGAUCUUCGGCAAUGGGCGCAAGCCUGACCGAGCGACGCCGCGUGCGGGAUGAAGGCCUUCGGGUUGUAAACCGCUGUCGUAGGGGAGGAAAUGCAGGUGGGUUCUCCCUCCUGUUUGACCUAUCCUAGGAGGAAGUACGGGCUAAGUUCGUGCCAGCCGCCGCAGUAA
Molecule: ribosomal RNA, 482 nt
Filed under: uncultured bacterium
Lineage: Bacteria
Description: partial 16S ribosomal RNA
Rfam family: Bacterial small subunit ribosomal RNA
Source: RNAcentral